AGAACUGUAGGUAUUGUAUACCUUAUGGAGGACAAAUAUCAGACAAGAACGAAGGAGUUUUCAUACUUAAGGAAGCCAUUUAACCCUCAAAAUGGAGGGACCAGCAAUGAAACACUAGCUAUCUACUGCCAGGCUUUACAAGCCAUUUCAUUUAUGUGAUGACAUAUGAAAACUAGAAGCUUUUAUUAAAAAAGGCAAUUGCAGAAUACUGUCAUUUUUCUGUGCAAAAGGUACCUAUCACUUCUCUGUGUGCUGGAAGAACUGGAAAGAAUGAGAUGAGUGAUUGGUGUUUGGACAAUAUAUCCACCUAGAAACAAAGAGGAAGACUAUUACAUUUUAAAACACACAUUUCCUUCACUGGGUGCUUUAUGCAGAAAAGCUGAGCCUGCAGAAUAUGAACCAGAUGGAGAAAAAAGUUUGCAAACAAGAUUCUGGUAAACUUGAACAAGGAGUUGGUCAUUGUUCAUCAUAAAAAUUGGUUAAGUAUAAGCGGUGGAAGUGACACAGGCAAGGGAAGAAAGGUAACAACCACAUUGUGCCUACAGUCUAUAGAAAUGGCCUAACUUGAAAUUUCAAGAGUUGCUCAAGGGCAUUGGACAAAAUUGUGGGAUUGACUAUGCAAGAAACCAGACUAUCAUGUAAGUAAAACAGAGGGUAUGCAGUAAAUUCUCCUUCAUAAUGAUUCUGCUCAUUUGCACUUUUUAAAAUAGUGUUUCUUUACUGCUACCAUUUGUACCUAGUGUGAAAGCCCAGAUGCAUAUAUCUGUGAGAUAGAACAGUUUUAAGUGAAAUGUCCUUCAAAGAUUUGAAGUACUAAUGAAGUACACUGUCAUUUGGAGAGGUGAAAGGCUUUAUAAGGCAACCAGUGAGCUGAGUGGCAGUUCUGUACUGAGACUCUUCUGGAUUUAGACA
Molecule: long non-coding RNA, 912 nt
Organism: Dromaius novaehollandiae (emu)
Lineage: Eukaryota; Metazoa; Chordata; Aves; Casuariiformes; Dromaiidae
Exons: 6
Source: RefSeq, a predicted model, not a curated record